AGUCGAACGCGAAAGUGGGGGCAACCCUGCGAGUAGAGUGGCGAACGGGUGAGAAACACAUCGGAACGUACCCAGGAGUGGGGGACAACCUCCAGAAAUCGAGGCUAAUACCGCAUACGUCCUGAGGGAGAAAGCGGGGGAUCCGUAAGGACCUCGCGCUCAUGGAGCGGCCGAUGUCCGAUUAGCUAGUUGGCGGGGUAAGAGCCCACCAAGGCGACGAUCGGUAGCUGGUUUGAGAGAACGACCAGCCACACUGGGACUGAGACACGGCCCAGACUCCUACGGGAGGCAGCAGUGGGGAAUUUUGGACAAUGGGCGAAAGCCUGAUCCAGCCAUGCCGCGUGAGUGAAGAAGGCCUUCGGGUUGUAAAGCUCUUUCGGCCGGAACGAAAUCGGGUACGUGAAUAACGGAUCUGGAUGACGGUACUGGAAGAAGAAGCACCGGCUAACUACGUGCCAGCAGCCGCGGUAAUACGUAGGGUGCGAGCGUUAAUCGGAAUUACUGGGCGUAAAGCGUGCGCAGGCGGUUCUGCAAGUCAGAUGUGAAAUCCCCGGGCUUAACCUGGGAACUGCGUUUGAAACUACGGAGCUAGAGUGCGGCAGAGGGGGGUGGAAUUCCACGUGUAGCAGUGAAAUGCGUAGAUAUGUGGAGGAACACCGAUGGCGAAGGCAGCCCCCUGGGCCGACACUGAGCUCAGCACGAAAGCGUGGGGAGCAAACAGGAUUAGAUACCCCUAACUAUGCGAACUAGUUUGUGGGGAAGCAAUUCUUUGGGAAC
This 777-nucleotide ribosomal RNA is filed under the name uncultured bacterium. RNAcentral's name for it is "bacterial SSU rRNA". It matches the Rfam family "Bacterial small subunit ribosomal RNA", at positions 60 to 834 of the family's 1533-position model. The record is from RNAcentral.